UACAGAGGUCCCAAGCGUUGUUCGGAUUCAUUGGGCGUAAAGGGUGCGUAGGCGGCGCGGUAAGUCGGGUGUGAAAUCUCGGAGCUUAACUCCGAAACUGCAUUCGAUACUGCCGUGCUUGAGGACUGGAGAGGAGACUGGAAUUUACGGUGUAGCGGUGAAAUGCGCAGAUAUCGGGAGGAACACCUAUGGCGAAGGCAGCUCGCUGGGACGUUACUGACGCUGAGACGCGAAAGCGUGGGGAGCAAACAGG
Molecule: ribosomal RNA, 253 nt
Filed under: uncultured bacterium
Lineage: Bacteria
Description: partial 16S ribosomal RNA
Rfam family: Bacterial small subunit ribosomal RNA
Source: RNAcentral